GGGGAAAAGCCAAGGGAGGACAUCAUUUGGGAGCUAGAAAGCUCAGAUCUGAUGGCACCAGGUGGAAGUGCUUCUAGACUUUGAGCAGAGUCUGGGUAAAUGAAUUCCAUCUUUAGCCCCUGACAUGAGGAGGAACCAAUGUAGAAACUGGAUGGGGAGUGGCUCUAUGCUGGUCCCUGGCCUUCUCAACAUUGUCUAUAGCUGCUUAUGAUUUGUUCUACUUGGCAUGAAUAAUAAGCAAAUCAUCCAAUAAAGAGACUCAGCUUCUAGCAAUCUGACUUGGCAACAGGGAGUCUCCUGUUGGUGGACAAAGAACCCAGCUUACAUGCUCAGACCCAGCGUGAAGUGGCCAUUGAGGUGGUGGAAGCAGAAGGAGGUUUCCGCAGAUGUUGCAAAGGGCCAAAUGGACCACAUCAAAACCCAAAGAGAGCAUGGCCAAGCUUGGCACCGUCUCCCCGUGGGCUGACAGUAGUUCACACCGGGGUGUGCCUCCUUGAGGACUUCUGAGACUUGGCUUCUUGGGUAUUCACAUGCAAAUUAGUGCUGUAGGACUUGGCUACAGAUUCCUGGGGCUGGAGUCCUAGCCUGGACCAUGAGUUACACAGGGAAGCCUUCACAGCCAAAACCCAAGCUUCGAGGCAGCAAAUACCCUCCCCUCACCUUCAGUUCCACACAUCCUGGGCAUUUUAAAGUAGGAAUUUCCUUAAAGAUGGCAAAUGACAUAGCAGGAGUUUCAACACAAUUCAGCACGGAUCCUCUGGGAGGCAGGGUGGGGAGUGCGGGUGUCUGGAUAAACAGGCUCCAAAAUCAGACCCUGCAA
This 820-nucleotide long non-coding RNA is filed under the name Bos taurus (domestic cattle). RNAcentral describes it as "long non-coding RNA NONBTAT012116". The record is from RNAcentral. Lineage: Eukaryota; Metazoa; Chordata; Mammalia; Artiodactyla; Bovidae.